RNAcentral lists this ribosomal RNA (487 nucleotides) under uncultured bacterium. RNAcentral's name for it is "bacterial SSU rRNA". It matches the Rfam family "Bacterial small subunit ribosomal RNA", at positions 28 to 512 of the family's 1533-position model. The record is from RNAcentral.
GAUGAACGCUAGCGGCAGGCUUAACACAUGCAAGUCGAGGGGUAUUUGGACUUCGGUUCAGAGAGACCGGCAAACGGGUGCGGAACACGUACACAACCUACCUUUAUCAGGGGGAUAGCCCAUAGAAAUGUGGAUUAAUACCCCACUAGUAUUAUGUGAUGGCAUCAUUAUAUAAUUAAAGAAUUUCGGUAUAGAGAUGGGUGUGCGUAAGAUUAGCUAGUUGGUAGGGUAACGGCCUACCAAGGCAACGAUCUUUAGCUGAUGUGAGAGCAUGAUCAGCCACACGGGCACUGAGACACGGGCCCGACUCCUACGGGAGGCAGCAGUGAGGAAUAUUGGUCAAUGGACGGAAGUCUGAACCAGCCAUGCCGCGUGAAGGAUGAAGGCGUUCUGCGUUGUAAACUUCUUUUAUCUGGGAAGAAACCACAGAUUUUCUAUUUGUGUUGACGGUACCAGAAGAAUAAGCACCGGCUAACUACGUGCCAGC